UACUCGAGUGGCGAACGGGUGAGUAACACGUGGGUGGUCUGCCCUGCACUUCGGGAUAAGCUUGGGAAACUGGGUCUAAUACCGGAUAGGAACCAUCUUUAGUGUGGUGGUUGGAAAGUUUUUUCGGUGUAGGAUGAGCUCGCGGCCUAUCAGCUUGUUGGUGGGGUAAUGGCCUACCAAGGCGGCGACGGGUAGCCGGCCUGAGAGGGUGUACGGCCACAUUGGGACUGAGAUACUGCCCAG
This 243-nucleotide ribosomal RNA is filed under the name uncultured Actinomycetales bacterium. RNAcentral's name for it is "partial 16S ribosomal RNA". It matches the Rfam family "Bacterial small subunit ribosomal RNA", at positions 88 to 334 of the family's 1533-position model. The record is from RNAcentral. Lineage: Bacteria; Bacillati; Actinomycetota; Actinomycetes; Actinomycetales.